This is a long non-coding RNA of Cyprinus carpio (common carp), 961 nucleotides long. NCBI's taxonomy places the organism in Eukaryota, Metazoa, Chordata, Actinopteri, Cypriniformes, Cyprinidae. The record is from Ensembl.
CUCUCUCUCUCAGUGUAUUUUAAUGUAAAAGAACCUCCCCUCAUAUGGGGGAACGUCCUCUUUCUUUCUUUGUUAAAGUCAUGUAAUUUUCUGAUGUGUCAGUAGAGCUGCUGUCUGUCAGUGAAGACACUGAAUGAGACUCGAUCUGAGACUCUUCUGCUGGGAUUGAGUUCUUUUGAAGCUGGACUUUAGAGAAAUGAUGCUCAUCUUUGGACUGAUGCUGCUGCUGCUGCAAACUGCUGCAUGUCUGGAGUUUAACUGCAGUUUUGAUCAGUCUGGUCCCUGUUACACAGCUCUGGGACACAAACUCAAUCUGCUGAUGGUGCAGGAUGCUAGUGAAUAUGAUCUGAAGAUAAUAAAGAGAAUAAACAACAACACAGCAGAUGAUCCAGUUUGUAGAGUAAAGAAUGGCAGGAUGAGGAUGAGUGAAUGUGAUCUUUAUAAUAACAGACCUGAAGUGACAGUCAUUAAUGGGAUUCUGAUAAUAAACCGUGUGAUCAGAACAGAUUCAGGGAAUUACAGAUUAAAUCUCGAGAGCUCAGACGGCUCAGAAACAUCUAGAGAUCUUCAAGUGAUUGUUGAAGCUCCUAUUGGCUCAGUGGAAGUGUCAAUCAUCUGCUCCUCCAGUGGGGUGAUGAGGGUGUUCUGCUCCUCUGAGGGGGAUCAGCUCCUCUACAGCUGGACUCUGAAUGGAGAUCCACUGAUGGAUGCAAACAGCAGCAUUGAUCUGGAUGAGAGAACUGAUGGAGACAUCAGCUGCAGUGUGAAGAACCACGUCAGUCACGCACUGAAGACCAUUAGACUCAAACCCUGUCCUGGUGAGAUCAUGUCUGUUCAUCUACAGCAGUGGUUCCCAACCAGGUUCCUGGAAGCCGCCCAACACUACAGGUUAUCCAUGUCUCCUCAAUCAAAUACGCCUAUUUCAGAUCAUGAGCUCAUUAGUAGAGACUCUAAGACCUAA